RNAcentral lists this ribosomal RNA (207 nucleotides) under uncultured bacterium. Its description in RNAcentral is "partial 16S ribosomal RNA". It matches the Rfam family "Bacterial small subunit ribosomal RNA", at positions 568 to 774 of the family's 1533-position model. The record is from RNAcentral.
CGCGUAGGCGGCUUAGUCAGUCAGGCGUGAAAUUCCUGGGCUUAACCUGGGGGCUGCGUUUGAGACGGCUAUGCUAGAGGGUAGGAGAGGGUCGUGGAAUUCCCAGUGUAGAGGUGAAAUUCGUAGAUAUUGGGAAGAACACCGGUGGCGAAGGCGGCGACCUGGCCUAUUACUGACGCUGAGGCGCGACAGCGUGGGGAGCAAACA